This is a long non-coding RNA of Eurytemora carolleeae, 526 nucleotides long. RefSeq lists it as uncharacterized. The transcript is spliced from 2 exons. The record is from RefSeq and is a predicted model, not a curated record. Lineage: Eukaryota; Metazoa; Arthropoda; Copepoda; Calanoida; Temoridae.
GUACGCCAAUAUAAUUCACCAAAACCAUACUGCAGUCCUUCAAUUAUCAUACAGGGAAAUUUUCAUCUUUAUAGUCUUUUUCGUCUGGUGCUGGGAAGUUCUUAAACCAUUGUUCAUUUUGAUUUGUCAAGUUUUGUAAGUCCGUCAAGCUGUAUAUUUGUCCUUCUUUUAAGUCAUGUGUAAUGUCGUCUUUUGUAACUUUACGUAGUUCACGCAGGGGGGUAUUCUUUUCGCUUCCAUUUUCAGGGUGAAAUGCCCUGCUCAAAAAGUCCGCAAUACAGAAUGGUUCGUUUUCUAAAGGUUCAUCAGCUCUCGGUAGAUGUUGUCCGAGAUCCUCUAGAGUGGGAGAGGUCAGAUGGGUUGACCUUCUCCUUCCGGUGCUUGUCGUAGAGUGUUGAAGACCUGGGGUUCUUUCCAUCAUCAAGAAUUAGAUAACGAUACGAGUUACGAAGCAUAAUAAUAUUCUUUACAAAAUUAUGAUAUAUUAAACAUCAAUUAUGUACAAAAUAAAACGAGCACUAUUUAA